UUAACUUGAUUUUUUGUUUGUUAGGUUUAAUAAGAAAUUAAAGUCAAGGUAAUAAUUCUUUGAUUAUUUUAGGGGACGAUAAGACCCUAAAAGCUUUAUAAGUUUAUUGAUUUAUAGUGUUAAAUAGAUAUUUAUUUUACUGGGGCGGUAUAAGUUAAUUUGCUAUACGAGUUAUAUGUGAUCCUUUAUAUUAGGAUGUGUUGGUUAAGUUACUUUAGGGUUAACAGUGCAAUAUUUUUGAAGAGAUCUUAUCGAUAAAAGUGUUUGCAACCUCGAUGUUGAAUUAAAAUAUCUACGUGGGGUAGAAAAUAUAGUAGAGGGUUUGUUCAACCUUUAAAUUUUUACAUGAU
This 350-nucleotide ribosomal RNA is filed under the name Gammarus cf. arduus 1BK52. Its description in RNAcentral is "partial large subunit ribosomal RNA". The stretch from base 222 to 350 matches the Rfam family "Bacterial large subunit ribosomal RNA", at positions 2475 to 2604 of the family's 2925-position model. The record is from RNAcentral. Lineage: Eukaryota; Metazoa; Arthropoda; Malacostraca; Amphipoda; Gammaridae.